Molecule: long non-coding RNA, 499 nt
Organism: Zalophus californianus (California sea lion)
Lineage: Eukaryota; Metazoa; Chordata; Mammalia; Carnivora; Otariidae
Exons: 3
Source: RefSeq, a predicted model, not a curated record
CUCAAGAAAGGCCCCUCAGGAAGGCAACACUGCAUGGCGACUCUUCGCCCCCUCGUCCAACUCCUUAUCUAUUUGCUCGCCUAUUCCUGUGUGUACUCCUGUUUGUACUUGUUGAUUUAUUUCUUUAGCGUCUUUGUGGAGGACUAGGCAGCUGAGCUGGACAGAAGCCACCUGGACAAGCAAAGCCCUACCUGCGGCUCAAGAAAUGGCCAGUUUCUUUCAAAUGCUGUAUACCGGAAGAAUCCAAAGGAUUCAUCAGAUGAACAAAUUUCAAAGUGCCACUACCAAUUUUUUUCUUUAAGAAAUGCAUCAAGCAUCUGAUUCGCUGCUGAUAAAUUCUCUGUACCUGCUGAGAAGACAUCAUCUUUUGCUCAGACAUGAUGACCAGGAAGAAUGUUUCUCGGUUGUUAUAAAAAUCCUGAGCAUCUGCUUUGUUCCCUUGAGCACGCAAAGGCUCUCCUCUCCAGCUUGUCAUGGAUUGGGGCUGCUUUUUUCAAGU